Molecule: ribosomal RNA, 1371 nt
Filed under: uncultured bacterium
Lineage: Bacteria
Description: bacterial SSU rRNA
Rfam family: Bacterial small subunit ribosomal RNA
Source: RNAcentral
GAUGAACGCUGGCGGCGUGCCUAAUACAUGCAAGUCGAGCGAACGGACGAGAAGCUUGCUUCUCUGAUGUUAGCGGCGGACGGGUGAGUAACACGUGGAUAACCUACCUAUAAGACUGGGAUAACUUCGGGAAACCGGAGCUAAUACCGGAUGAUAUUUUGAACCGCAUGGUUCAAAAGUGAAAGACGGUCUUGCUGUCACUUAUAGAUGGAUCCGCGCUGCAUUAGCUAGUUGGUAAGGUAACGGCUUACCAAGGCAACGAUGCAUAGCCGACCUGAGAGGGUGAUCGGCCACACUGGAACUGAGACACGGUCCAGACUCCUACGGGAGGCAGCAGUAGGGAAUCUUCCGCAAUGGGCGAAAGCCUGACGGAGCAACGCCGCGUGAGUGAUGAAGGUCUUCGGAUCGUAAAACUCUGUUAUUAGGGAAGAACAUAUGUGUAAGUAACUGUGCACAUCUUGACGGUACCUAAUCAGAAAGCCACGGCUAACUACGUGCCAGCAGCCGCGGUAAUACGUAGGUGGCAAGCGUUAUCCGGAAUUAUUGGGCGUAAAGCGCGCGUAGCGGUUUUUUAAGUCUGAUGUGAAAGCCCACGGCUCAACCGUGGAGGGUCAUUGGAAACUGGAAAACUUGAGUGCAGAAGAGGAAAGUGGAAUUCCAUGUGUAGCGGUGAAAUGCGCAGAGAUAUGGAGGAACACCAGUGGCGAAGGCGACUUUCUGGUCUGUAACUGACGCUGAUGUGCGAAAGCGUGGGGAUCAAACAGGAUUAGAUACCCUGGUAGUCCACGCCGUAAACGAUGAGUGCUAAGUGUUAGGGGGUUUCCGCCCCUUAGUGCUGCAGCUAACGCAUUAAGCACUCCGCCUGGGGAGUACGACCGCAAGGUUGAAACUCAAAGGAAUUGACGGGGACCCGCACAAGCGGUGGAGCAUGUGGUUUAAUUCGAAGCAACGCGAAGAACCUUACCAAAUCUUGACAUCCUUUGACAACUCUAGAGAUAGAGCCUUCCCCUUCGGGGGACAAAGUGACAGGUGGUGCAUGGUUGUCGUCAGCUCGUGUCGUGAGAUGUUGGGUUAAGUCCCGCAACGAGCGCAACCCUUAAGCUUAGUUGCCAUCAUUAAGUUGGGCACUCUAAGUUGACUGCCGGUGACAAGCCGGAGGAAGGUGGGGAUGACGUCAAAUCAUCAUGCCCCUUAUGAUUUGGGCUACACACGUGCUACAAUGGACAAUACAAAGGGCAGCGAAACCGCGAGGUCAAGCAAAUCCCAUAAAGUUGUUCUCAGUUCGGAUUGUAGUCUGCAACUCGACUACAUGAAGCUGGAAUCGCUAGUAAUCGUAGAUCAGCAUGCUACGGUGAAUACGUUCCCGGGUCU